RNAcentral lists this ribosomal RNA (1926 nucleotides) under Triticum aestivum (bread wheat). Its description in RNAcentral is "partial small subunit ribosomal RNA". The record is from RNAcentral. Lineage: Eukaryota; Viridiplantae; Streptophyta; Magnoliopsida; Poales; Poaceae.
AUGGGGGUCCGGUCGGCGGCCACGAAGCUGCACAUCCCCCCCGCCCACUCCGCCGCCCGGCGCUCCUUCUUCCUGCCGCUCGCCGCCGUCGCCCUCCUCUGCUCCGCCUCCUACCUCCUGGGCGCCUGGCACCACGGCGGCGGCUUCUCCCCUUCCUCCCCCUCCCGCUCCGUCACCAUUGCCACCGACAUCUCCUGCACCACCACCACCCUCACCCCCUCCACCACCACCGCCGCCGCCGCUCAGUCCCUCGACUUCUCCGCGCACCACGCGGCGGCGGUCGACGCCGUGGCGUCCAGGGCCGCGUCCUCCGCGUCCUCGGCGCCGCGGAGGUACCCGGCGUGCCCGGCCGAGUACUCGGAGUACACGCCGUGCGAGGACGUGAAGCGGUCGCUGCGCUACCCGCGGGACCGGCUGGUGUACCGGGAGCGGCACUGCCCCUCGGGGCGCGAGCGGCUGCGGUGCCUGGUGCCGGCGCCCGCCGGGUACCGCAACCCGUUCCCGUGGCCGGCCAGCCGCGACGUCGCGUGGUUCGCCAACGUGCCGCACAAGGAGCUCACCGUGGAGAAGGCGGUGCAGAACUGGAUCCGCGUGGACGGGGACAAGCUCCGGUUCCCCGGCGGCGGGACCAUGUUCCCGCACGGCGCCGACGCCUACAUCGACGACAUUGGGAAGCUCAUCCCGCUCCACGACGGCUCCAUCCGCACCGCGCUCGACACCGGCUGCGGGGUGGCGAGCUGGGGCGCGUACCUGCUGUCCCGGGACAUCCUGGCCAUGUCCUUCGCGCCGCGGGACUCGCACGAGGCGCAGGUGCAGUUCGCGCUGGAGCGCGGCGUCCCCGCCAUGAUCGGCGUCCUCGCUUCCAACCGCCUCACCUACCCGGCCCGCGCCUUCGACAUGGCGCACUGCUCCCGCUGCCUCAUCCCCUGGCACCUCUACGAUGGAUUGUACCUGAUCGAGUUGGACCGUGUCCUGCGCCCCGGCGGGUACUGGAUCCUGUCCGGGCCGCCCAUCAACUGGAAGAAGUACUGGAAGGGGUGGGAGAGGAGCAAGGAGGACCUCAACGCCGAGCAGGAGGCGAUCGAGGCGGUCGCCCGGAGCCUCUGCUGGAAGAAGAUCAAGGAGGCCGGCGACAUCGCCGUCUGGCAGAAACCCGCCAACCACGCCGGCUGCAAGGCCUCCCGCAAGGCCGCCAAGUCGCCGCCGUUCUGCUCCAAGAAAAAUGCCGACGCAGCGUGGUACGACAAGAUGGAGGCCUGCGUGACGCCACUGCCGGAGGUCUCGGACGCGAGCGAGGUGGCCGGCGGCGCGGUGAAGAAGUGGCCGCAGAGGCUCACGGCCGUGCCGCCCAGGGUCUCCCGGGGCACGGUCAAGGGCGUGACGGCCAAGGCGUUCCAGCAGGACACGGAGCUGUGGAAGAAGCGGGUCCGCCACUACAAGGCGGUGAUCAACCAGUUCGAGCAGAAAGGACGGUACCGCAACGUGCUCGACAUGAACGCCCGCCUCGGCGGCUUCGCGGCGGCGCUGGCGAGCUACCCGCUGUGGGUCAUGAACAUGGUCCCGGCCGUGGCCAAUUCCAGCGCACUCGGGGUGGUCUACGAGCGCGGCCUCAUCGGAAGCUACCAGGACUGGUGCGAGGGCACGUCCACCUAUCCGCGGACCUACGAUCUCAUCCACGCCGACUCGGUCUUCACUCUGUACAAGAGCAGGUGUGAGAUGGACACCAUUCUGCUGGAGAUGGACAGGGUCCUGAGGCCCGAGGGCACGGUGAUCAUCAGAGACGACGUGGACAUGCUGGUGAAGGUCAAGAGCGUCUCCGACCGGAUGAGGUGGGACAGCCAGAUCGUCGACCACGAAGACGGCCCGCUCGUCCGGGAGAAGAUCCUCCUGGUUGCCAAGACGUAUUGGACUGCCAAGAACCAAUAG